This 426-nucleotide ribosomal RNA is filed under the name uncultured bacterium. Its description in RNAcentral is "bacterial SSU rRNA". It matches the Rfam family "Bacterial small subunit ribosomal RNA", at positions 28 to 459 of the family's 1533-position model. The record is from RNAcentral.
AUUGAACGCUGGCGGCAGGCCUAACACAUGCAAGUCGAGCGCGAAAGGCUUUCGGGCUGAGUAGAGCGGCGGACGGGUGAGUAACGCGUAGGAAUCUACCUGGUAGUGGGGGACAACUUGUGGAAACGCAAGCUAAUACCGCAUACGCCCUAUGGGGGAAAGCGGGGGACCUUCGGGCCUCGCGCUAUCGGAUGAGCCUGCGUAGGAUUAGCUAGUUGGUAGGGUAAUGGCCUACCAAGGCACCGAUCGGUAGCCGGCCUGAGAGGGUGAACGGCCACAUUGGGACUGAGACACGGCCCAGACUCCUACGGGAGGCAGCAGUGGGGAAUUUUGGGCAAUGGGGGAAACCCUGACCCAGCGACGCCGCGUGGAGGAUGAAGGCCUUCGGGUUGUAAACUCCUGUCAGGUGGGAAGAAACGCUUCGUG